ACACCUGGAUGUGCUCACUCAACCAAGAAUAUAGAGAAAGAGCUUCUGCCCUGAGACUCAGAAAAAUAUUCUCCUGUGCUUUGGUUCAGUAUAGAUUUCUAAACCCUGAUCAUUGCUUAAGAGAUAUUCACUGAGGGUCCUACGUCUCUGCAAUUUGUGUAUGAAUAACAGAAUAAUUUCCCUCUUUUGUUUCGCCUUUCCUGUUCCUGAAUCUAAAUAAAGAUGGCUUUUUAGUAUUAAAAGUGGAAGAAAAUUACAGGUAAUUAUCUUUGACGGUAAAAACGCUGUAAUCAGCGGGCUACAUGAAAAAUUACUCUAAUUAUGGCUGCAUUUAAGAGAAUGGAAAAAAACCUUCUUGUGGAUAAAAACCUUAAAUUGUCCCCAAUGUCUGCUUCAAAUUGGAUGGCACUGCAGCUGGAGGCUUUGUUCAGAAUUGAUCCUGGGGAGCUACGAACCCAAAGUUUCACAGUAGGAAGGGGGAAAAAAGAAAAGAAAACAUUUUUCCUAAUGUAACAAUGCGAAUGCUAGAAAAUGACAAGACUGAUCGGUUUUAAACCAUUCUGAAGACUGACUGAGCGUGGAAGUUGCUCAACAAAAAAAGGAACGGGUAUAUUGACAGAGUCUUGCUCUAUUGCCCAGGCUGCAACUGGUGUGAUCUCGGCUCACUACAACCUCUGCCUCCUGGGUUCAAGCGAUUCUCCUGCCUCAAGCUCCCAAGUAGCUGGGAUUACAAGCAUGCACCACCAUGCCUGGCUAAUUUUUGUAUUUUUAGUGGAGACGGGGUUUCGCCACAUUGGCCAGGGUGGUCUUGAACUCCUGACCUCAAGUGAUCCACCUGCCUUGGCCUCCCAAAGUGCUGGGAUUAUAAGCAUGAGCCACUGCACCCAGCCUUAUACUGAACUUUCAAUGGGUUCAAUUCCACUAGGAGCAUAAAGGCCACUGCAUAUGAGUUGUGGAAAGAAGAGAUUAGAAGAAGGAAGAACUUGAGAUGAGUUCCUCCCUUCAACAUUCUGUCUCCUCCUACCUAGCAUCUUCUUUCUUUUAGUCUUUCUAGAAUGUCCAUCUGUUUUUGGCCAUUGCGGAGAGAGAAGCUGAGCUUUAAAGGAGUAGGAGCUUCAAAGGCGUAGGAGCUUCAAAAUUCUUGUUUCUUCAUGUUUGAUCACCCUUCUAAACCUGUCUUCUGUUCCUUCUGCUAUUCUUUUUUCUUAGAGCAUAGGAAAGGGGAGCUUUUAAAUUAAUACUUAAAGCAUGGAAAAAAAGAACUUGAGAAGAAAGUAAAACAAGGGAGAUGAGGCUAGUAAAGUAAGGAAAAUGAAGAGGAAGAGGAGGAAGGGUUAGCUUCUAAAUUCCAAGUCAAAUUGAUAUGGAACAGGCAAGCCGCUUGUCUUACUUAAACUUCAGAAAAGGAUCUGCUGAAACUUGAUAGAAAUGGAAAGGGAAAUCCUUGGGGUGGGGAACCUCCAAACAUUAGUAAUGAUAUUGAACAACUCAAAGUAUUGAGGAAAUCUGCAGGCUACAUGCCUGAAGAUUACCCAUGCAGAUAGACCAAAAGGAUUAGAAUUAUCUGUUGAUAUUAGUAAUAUUUAUUGACAUCUAGCUAGUAUUGGUAAUUUUAAGUUUUAGAUUAAUUUCUUUGGUAAUAGCUAUGAUAUAUUUUAUAGACAAGAAUUAUAUCUAUAGGCUUGCUAUCAUAGGCUCUUUUAAUCAGCAUUAAUUUAGUCUACUGAUUUUUAGCACAUUUGAAUCAUUCACUUAUGCUAGGUAACUCAUUGCAAAAUAAAAAGAUGAUUCCUGUAUGUAUGGCAGCUAUACAUUAAGGAGGAGUCUACCAGAAUAUGAAAAAGUCAGCUGACCUAAAUAUUGCUGAGACAAAGGAAAACCCACUCCCUUGGAGGAGCAUGACCUUUUCCUGUAAUUCUUCCCACUGCUGUUGUUGAGCUCCUUGGAUCCUGGCUCCUGGACACCAUCAUCAAGAAGACUUUAUGGAUGGGCUGUCCACCCACUGAGAGAAGAGGAGCAUCAGCUACAGUUUCUCUCUAGAUUGCCUUCUUCAUUUUGAGUAAUGACUGUCAGCAGGGUCAGAUUAAACACAAAACAACUGGACAAUUGCUUGGAGGACUAAACUAUAAGGGCACUAACAUGUCAAUAGUAGGCUAACACAUCCAUGGAAAAUAUAUUUACCAGCUCUUCUCUCAGGGAGGAUUCUGUGUGGGGUUGGAAGUAAUGAUUUGUUAAAUUCCUUAGGGGUAGAAAGUAGGGCAUAAUCAGAAUAUAGAGGAAUAUGCUGUUUGACUUCAGGGUUUCUGUUUUUCUUACUAGGAUAUAUAAAACAGGGACUCUAGCUAGAUUGUUUAUGACCACAGAGGGUAGGCUGAGUGCUCCCAUGAUCUUCCUGCUUGGUUCUUGCCCAUACAGAGGUCAGCCUUUCCUCUAAUAAAGAUUGAACAAGUAGUGGUCUGAGGGAGACACCAAUUCAUUACCCUACAUGUCUCUUCUCUGCACUCCAGGGCUUUGAUAAUAAAGACACUGGCAGACUAUCUAUCUUCCAUUUCUAUAAUGUGAGCCCUUAGGGAGUCUUCGUUCACUUGGGGGUGAGGGUCAUUGCUCACAGAGUAGUUCAAGUCAAAUGGAACUUGAACUCUUUGCCUAUGGGCCUGGUGGUCAGACUCUGUGUUGAGUUCAUUAGAUUAUUGGAGACACAAGGUAGAGCUGGAUGCUUCAAAAAUAUUUGGCUAAAGGAUGACAUUGCUGGUUAUUUGUAGAUAAAGCCAUGAUGGAACCUGCUUGGAAUCAUGAAAUAUGGAACUGGUGGUCAUGUUUAAAAAUACAACUAAUAGUUAAGUACCUACUGGACACUGUAGAGACUUAGGGGCUAGACAGACAUGGUUCCUGCCCCCUUGGAGCUUACACUGUAGCUUCCCCUUAGGUAUGAAGAACAGUGGCUACAACUAACAAAUGGCCACAAAGAUAUAAUUGAGCCAGUGUUCCAAUUAUUAGGGUAAUUCCUAUUUCCUUAAUCAUUCCUAUUGACCAUGUUCUAUAAGCCUGCAUUCUAUAAAUGGCGUAUGACCAUGGGCUGUUUCCCCCCAGCAAGUUGUACAAAGUUCUGUGGUACCAGGGAAAGGGCUUAAGGUUAGCAGGGCCUCUGCGGAAGGACAUAUGAAGUGACUUGGGUUAGGAAACAGGAAGGGAUAGGAUUCAAGAACAGCUAUUGCUUCUGUUCUAUAUAGGAAACUGCAGCGUGAAAAAUGCUGGGCUGGGAAUUUUGAGACCUGGGUUUUAGUUUGUGUUCUAAUACUAACAAGCUAUGUGACUGUGGGUAAGUCAUUUCACAUUCCAUUUGGAUGCCUCUUGAGUGACUCCAGGCCUCUCCAGCUCUAAAACAUUAAGAUCAGGCCCUACGCUACAGCUGGCCAGUGUGUAAUUCUUCUGUUUCUAUGCUGUUAGGUCAAAUAGAUCUUCAAUAGUUACUUGAUUGUUAUUACUUUUUUCUGAAGUGGGUGUUUUAUCAAUGUUUUAGGAUACAGUGAGUCUGCUUCUCCCCUUUGGAGUUAGGAAGGUUGUAGGAAUAUACACUGUAGAGCAUAUGGGAGCUUUAUCCCCUCCUUUUUUCCCCGCUACCUUUCUCCCUCUCCUUCCCUUCAUCACAUUUCUAUUGAGCAUAUGCCAUUGCCGUGUACCAGGUGUGUGCUAGGUUUGGAGAUACAAGGUAAACCUGAGACUUUCCCAGUCUCCAGGAGACAAAACCCUAAUUUCUUUCAUCUGCUGUCUUUCUCUUUGGAAAGAAUCAACGAUAUCCCAGGGGAAUGUGCCCAUGUCCCAGGGUAACCAACUACAGACAGAUGCCCCAUUCUACUCAAGCAACUUUUAGAGUGCCUUGAGAUACACAUCAGAUAAUUAUGCAGGGCCAGGCAUGGUGCUGCACACUUGUAAUCACAGCACUUUGGGAGGCCGAGGCAGCAGAUUGCUUGAGCCCAGGAAUUCAAGUGUAGCCUAGGGAACAUGGCAAAACCCCAGCUCUACAAAAAAAUACACAAAUUAGCUGCGUGUGGUGGCCUAUGACAGGAGGCUGAGAUGGGAGGAUUGCUUGAGCCUGUGAGGUCGAGGCUGCAGUGAGCCGAGAUCAUGCCAUUACUCCAGCCUGGGUGACAUAGGGAGACCCUGUCUUGAAAAAAAAAAAAAAAAGAUAAUUAUUCAGCCCUAGAGUCAUUGUGAAAAGAUCUAUCUUCAGAUAUAAGGAAGAAACAAUCUUUUAUUUCUUAGGAUAAAUCUGUAGAAGGACCUCCAGACAGUGAAGGCCACUGACUACUUUAUACUCUGUAAGCCAUCCCUCCCUGGUAGGAAGGACUAUUUCCAAUCUUACAGAGUACCUCUCAGCAAAUAGACGUUUUCACAUAUACUGUGAUUCAUACAUCCCUAUGGCUGGUGACCUCUUUAAAAAGGAAAGGAAAAAGCCUAAUCAAACAAAAAGAUGCUGCUAGUAAUUCUUACCCUAUUGUGAAUCCUAUAUAAGCAAAUUUGUAUCUUUGUUUUUUCCUACAUUAGCAGAUCUAUUUGAUGUAUAUCUCUGAGUGCAGAAAAUAUUUUAUGGAAAAAUCAAUAUAUGGAAUUUCAAAUUCAGAAUUGCUGAUACACACUAUUUGGUUUCACAAUUUUAUCCUAGGAAAUAGUAUUAGAGAUUUCAAUUUCUGGCUUAAAUGGUAGAAUUAAUUACUCUUAACUCUUAAUUUUACUUCUGAGUUGAGGUCAAGGAACAGGCAGACACCUGCAGUUAACGUCUAUACCUCUCCAUGGCCAAGAGUUUUAAUUUUCUCGUCUUCAAUUUUGUAGAUGUUCAUCAUUACUAAAUGGAUUGAUUAGUAUUUUAUCUCCUCUCCUUGUCCUUACUUUCCCUCUGGUAAAUAUGUUAUAAACAGUGUAAGGCUCCUAAGAUAGAGUAGCUGGUAGGACUUAGAAGAGAAACAAAGGGCACUGAUAACUCACAUAAAUGGAAAAUUGGCUCUGGAAUAACUGACAACAUAUUCAAGUAUUUUAGUGCAGUGUCACUCUCAUUAAGAAGAAGAGAAUCAGUAAAUCUAUGUGACUCUAAACAUUCUAAUGAAAAAAGGAAUAUUCUGCCAAUUAUCUCACAUUUCUAAAUAUCUGGAUAUUGGCCAUUGUAAAGACAAAACAUACAGAUGAUGGACUUGUCUUUCCACCUCUCAUUUGCAUGGUUUGGAGCAUUGUACCUCCAGCCAUAGACUCUAAGGCAAUUUAUAUUUGCUUCCUCUUCCCUCUUGAGAGAAAACGAAAAUCUUAUUUUUCCAAGCAAUUAAAACUCUUCUGCUUCAGCUAGGAUGAAAGAAUUAGGAGUUCUGUCUCCUUGUAUCUAAUUGCAUGUUUCAUCUUUCUUGUUUUAAUGAUUGACAGAAAACUAAUAAACUGAGACAUCUUUGAAUCCAGGUUGAAUGUACUCUCUUGGUGGCCCCAUUGCUAAUUUGUUUGACUAUUUUGCAGGAUUUCUUACUCUGUAAUGGAAAGGUUUAUUAA
This is a long non-coding RNA of Homo sapiens (human), 5529 nucleotides long. Ensembl annotates it as DLX6 antisense RNA 1. Its record names the gene DLX6-AS1. The record is from Ensembl. Lineage: Eukaryota; Metazoa; Chordata; Mammalia; Primates; Hominidae.